AGGUCCUGCCUGCCUGUGAUAUAUAUUUAACGGCCGCGGUAUUUUGACCGUGCAAAGGUAGCGCAAUCACUUGUCCUUUAAAUGAAGACCUGUAUGAAUGGCACGACGAGGGCUUAACUGUCUCCUUUUUCCAAUCAAUGAAAUUGAUCUUCCCGUGCAGAAGCGGGAAUACAACCAUAAGACGAGAAGACCCUAUGGAGCUUUAAACAAAAAUAGAUCUUGUUAAACAUAUCUUAAUUAAAGAAGUGAACCGAAAGAAUCCUAUCAUUNAUGUUUUUGGUUGGGGCGACCGCGGGGAAACAAACAACCCCCAUGUGGACUAAGAAAACAUUUCUCACAAUAAAGAGCCACAGCUCUAAUUAACAGAAUUUCUGACCUANUAGAUCCGGCAAUGCCGAUCAACGGACCGAGUUACCCUAGGGAUAACAGCGCAAUCCUCUUUAAGAGUUCAUAUCGACAAGAGGGUUUACGACCUCGAUGUUGGAUCAGGACACCCUAAUGGUGCAGCAGCUAUUAAGGG
This 520-nucleotide ribosomal RNA is filed under the name Betta splendens (Siamese fighting fish). RNAcentral's name for it is "partial 16S ribosomal RNA". It matches the Rfam family "Bacterial large subunit ribosomal RNA", at positions 1850 to 2571 of the family's 2925-position model. Lineage: Eukaryota; Metazoa; Chordata; Actinopteri; Anabantiformes; Osphronemidae. The record is from RNAcentral.